This is a long non-coding RNA of Leopardus geoffroyi (Geoffroy's cat), 4742 nucleotides long. RefSeq lists it as uncharacterized. The transcript has 3 exons. The record is from RefSeq and is a predicted model, not a curated record. NCBI's taxonomy places the organism in Eukaryota, Metazoa, Chordata, Mammalia, Carnivora, Felidae.
UUUUUCUGGGUGGUUUUUAUCAACUCCUGCCCAAGGCCGUGCAAAAGGACGGCAUCUAAGGGACCUCCGGCCUGGAACCCAACCCUUCCCCAUCAAAGCAGUUCCCAGCAGAGACAAUGCCAUUUGCGUGAACCAUUUCUGACAGAGGCCGCCCGUGUGGCUUGAAAGCUGUAAGCGUCCGGCCGCGAUUCAUGAGUGGCUUUGAUCACUGGGGCCCCGAAGUGCUUCCCGCUUGGCUGCGGCACUGCCCCGCCAUCGUUUUCCCGCGGCAGGUCCACCGUCUGUGCGUCAAUCACGACCCCCCUCUGCUCACUUUGAAAAGUUUCCUUUAUCUCGCUAGAAGCCUCUGGUUUCCUGGGAGCGGUCCACCUCUGAGAUGCUCUGCUGUUUUCGAGAUUGUUUGUUGUGUGUGUGUCCCUGGGAAGCUCGGUUCCAGGAGGAGGAGGUCAGAGGAUUGGAGGGGAUUUGACCGCUUUGCGGAUGGCCGUGGGAGCUGUCUGAGGUGCAGCAUCCGGGGGCCUGGGGGCCUGGCACCAGAGCUCAGCGCUCAGCGGCUGGUGCGGGUUUGGGGAGGGCACGCGGGCGGGUGGAAGGAACCCAGGCUGGCGUUCUGCAGGCAGGAUCUGAUGGACACACAAGGGAGCUGAGUUUGGCUGGGAAGGAAGCUGAGGGUCCGCUGGACAUAGGCUGGUUGAGCCGGGAACGAAGACGGAGACCAAAGGAGGGAGCGGGUCCAGGAGCCCUACAGGGCUGAGGGGUAGCAGGACCUGGAGAGAAGGGCAGGAGAGGAGGGGAGAGCAGAGGGGAGGUUUGUCACCACCAAGAGGAUCCAGCCCAGCCCAAGUCUGGAUGAGGCCCCUGGACGGGUGACUGGGAGAGGGGGUUACCAGGCUGGGGGUGCUGGGGUUGAGACUGUGAUGGCACCCUCUCUGCUCCCCAGGAGACCAGGGAUCAAAGGCGGGUCUGGGAGCUUUAAACACCCGAGGGGGGGUCUCGGUUUAGGGGAGCUGACAACUAAGUCCUCGGGGAGAGUGUGAGUGUGCACCUGAGAGGCGGGGCGCACCCUGGCUGGGGGACAGUCUACUCUUUGCACACAGCCGAGGAUGUCACCGUGGACAGGGCUCACCGUGGCAAACUGGGGGCACGGUGCCUGUCACAACAGAGGCUCCAGCCUGAUGCCCAGAGGCGUGACAGGCACCGUGGUGAUAGCUGAGCCAGGUGACCCCAGAGGAAGCUGCCAGCCCAGGCCUGGCCAGCUGCGUGCUGUGACGGCCGUGUGCCCCACGUGGAGAGGCGGCCAGAGUGAUAGCCUUGCUGCUGACUCACAGGCAGUCUGGCUCAGCCCCCUCCCCCCACCUCUGCCCUCCGCCUCCCAGCUCAUCUGGGACCCCCCAGCUCAUGCCUUAGGGCGUGAAGUCCACGCUUUGGGCUGCGUGCAGCAGACCGCGUCCAGACGGUGACGGGAGACAGGCUGGCACUGCGCGGACGUCGGCCAGAGGCCACACAAAGGACUGAUUGCAGGCUCAGCCAGAAGGCAGCUGUCCACAAGCCAGGGAGAGAGGCUUACAGUCACCAGCCCCGAUGGCACCUCAGUCCGCCUUGCAGGCUCCAGAACUCCGAGAGGGCAAAUGUCUGUGCAUGAGCACCCUGGCCAAUGGCAGUCCCAGCUGAGACUGUGAAAGUCCACCCACAGCUUACAUUGUCCCCUGUCCUGCAGCCAAGGGACCUCAGACUGGUUUUGUUUGUUUGGGGCUCUCUUGGCAGCUUCCAUAGAAGCAAGGUGCUCCUUUCCUGGGAUGCUCUGGCUUGACAGCUGUCCGAGGCGGCCCCCAGGGUGGGGACGAGCCAGGCAAGGUAGCUGUGAGCCCAGAGGCCCUGCAUACGCCCUGCUGAGCAGUUCAGUUCCUCCGGUGUCCGCCUGCGGGAAGAUGUUGGUUUUCGCUGCACCUGCCAUCUGGACUCUUUGCCGUUCAGAAAACCGUGUGUUGGCAAACAGAAACUGCAAGGACGCACGGUCCCUCGGAGUCCGUGGUGUGGUCCAGGGGAGAGGGGACUUGUUCUCUUCAUGCGGUUCCACUUAACAAAUAUUCAUGGGUGCCUGUCAGGUGCCCAGGUCUUACUCCAGAUGCUGGAGAGAAGCAGGUAAACCAGUCAGAGAACAUCUGUGCCCACGUAGCUUCUGUUUUAGUCGGGAGAGGGUGCAGAAAAUGAACACCUACAAAAAUACCUGGGGGUGAUACAUAUUCCGAGGAAGACAAAAUGGGGUGUUGUGAUGGUAGGGGUAGAAGAGGUCAGGGAGGCCUCUCAGAAGAGGGAGGCAGGAGCCGAGAUCAGAACGUCAAGAUUGAAGCAGCCAGGUGAGGAUCUGGAGAGGGCAGGCCAGGCAGAGGGAGAGCAGUGCUAAGGUCCUGGGGUAGGAAUGAGCUUGGUGUGUCGGAGGAACCCGGGGAGGGGGAAGUGAGGGAAGAGGGGGAGCAUUAGGUCAAGUGGGAGCCAGGGGUCCCCCGUGGGUUGGCUGAGGAGUUUGGAGGCUCAGGACAGCAGGAAGCCACGAGCAGGCUCAGGCGGGACGGGCGGAUGACAUUUUCAGAGGCUCCUUGGGGCUGCUAUGAGGGGGGAGCUCAGAGGGCAAAAACGGAAGUCCCAAGCCCAUCCUUCUCCUCAGCCCCUGCUCCCUGUCUGGUCCCGGCUGCAGCAUCUCACUGGGCUUCUCUCCCUCACCCUUUCUGCAGCCUCCUACCUGGUCUCCUUGCUUCCACUCUUGCCUCUCUAGGGACUGGCUCUAACGGGGCAGCCAGAUGCCCCCAUUCACUCCUCAUCUCGAACCCCCCAGAGGCUUCCGCCCCACCUGCAGAAAAGCCAGAGUCCCCACGGGGGCCUGCGGGACCACACGACCUCUUCUCCCUACUCCCCUACCCAACCAUCUCCCGAGGUCACCACCCAGACUUCCUUCAGGCCUCUUCCCCACACCCAGCCCUUUCCACCCUCCCUUUCCUCCUGGCCCUUGUAGCCAUGGCUCCCGUGGCUGUGUCUCUACUCCCGGGUUAGGGCACAGGUCAGGGGCUUCUGUUUGGUGCCCUGCCACCUCCCAGUAUGUAGACCAGCCCUCAGCCCCCCGUGAGGGCUCAGUCAGCACCUGUGUGCUGUUGUCAAAGUCCUGACUUGGAAGGCAAAGGGGGGCUUGUUCCAAGGAGGUCCUUGUGCACGGGGAAGGAUCCGGAUGGACUUGAAGACAGACCACAGGGCUUGCUGUCCUCUUGGGGGUGAGUGUCGCCAAGGGACCAACAUUCUUGCAGGGCUUUGCUUGAGCCGCUGAGGCCAUGGUGCAUGGAGGCACGGUGUGCAUGUAAGGGAGAUGGGGAGGGAGCCCAUGGGGCAGACAGGGGUCCAGGGUUCUGCCCGGCCCGGAGAGGUUUGAAACCUCACUAUCCGCAUCAAGUUGCUGUGGAAGGAGGCAGCUGGUUGGAACUCUGAGGCUCAGGAGGGCCAUUAAGGCCAGAGGUAACAGCUGCAGGUCAGUGGCCCAGAUGUGUUAUUUGGAUCAGGGCCCAGUGAGAUCCCAAGGAAAGAUCAGGGAUGCCAAGGUCAAGCCAGGGAGGGCAGGUCCACACAUGUGCCUGGGGCAUGUCAGCAUUUCAGGCAAACGAAAAGGUCCUCACCGGUUACGCACGUCUUUGUCCUCUGCCCUGGGGCCUGCCUUUUCAGGCGAGCUACCCGGGUCCGCUCCGCAGCAUGUGUCCUGGGAAUGACUGUGAGAUAAAGUGGGGAACAGUGUGUGAGGGGGGCGCUCCAGCCCCCUGGGGACAGGAUGAGUGAAUGGCAUUGCCCACACUGCACUGGGUCAAGGACCCCAGCGACACAUGCCCUGGUCAUACUGUCCUCUCUCACACCUGGCCAGGGGUGGCUGGACUUCAAAGUCACCUUCCGAAGACUGCAUUGACAAACUGCAUUAACAAACUGGGGCUUCGAGGCCGUUCGUCGCUCCUGGGUCUCUUCAGUGAGAUCUCCCUGUUCUGAAACACGCCAAAGACUUCCGCUGUCCCACAAGUCCUGCACAGUGCCAGCCGCGGACUCCCCAAAGGUGAGGCCAGGAGGGCUGCAAGCCGGUUUCCUAGGAAACGUUAAAUCAGCCCCUUCCUCCCUCCAAAUCCCACUCUUUCAAUUUUCUUCUGGUGGACUGGUAUUUUCGCUGUGAUUCCGUCCCAGGCCUUCUGACCUAAUUCCAAUUUACUUGUCGGAGUUUCUUAUUUCCUCUCGACACUGACUCUGAUACACGAGGCUGUUUUAUCACUGGGUGGUUUUAAUUUUCAUACAGAGACUUGUGGUUUCCCAUUUUCUGUGUUUCCUUUGAGUUUCAGCCAACAGGAGCAUAAUGCCUAUGAAAGGCACACAGAUUCCAUGGGCUGUUUGUUGAAUUAUUCAAAGUGCUCCUUUAUUAUUCCCUUUGUGUCAGUCUAUGUGGCUUCUUACCAGAGGCAUGACUUACAUGGUAGGCUACUGUGUGUCCAGUAUGGAUGAUCUUGAGGGGACAAGCAGAGGGAAUGCAGCUUUGCCCCAGGAGAAGGUUGCUAUCAGCACAGCCAGAGAACAUUCACAGGAUCCAAGAUGGCAGAUGCAAACCCCCUGGCCCAGUAGGUCAGUGGGAUGCUGUGAAGGAUGACUCUUAGCCAGAGCAGAAGUAGAAGCAAGCUCAUGGGAUGGGAAAUUCUUGGUAUUGUUGGAUUUUGGAUUGGUUCAUUCAU